RNAcentral lists this ribosomal RNA (301 nucleotides) under uncultured bacterium. RNAcentral describes it as "partial 16S ribosomal RNA". It matches the Rfam family "Bacterial small subunit ribosomal RNA", at positions 509 to 808 of the family's 1533-position model. The record is from RNAcentral.
CAGUAGCCGCGGGAAUACGUAGGUCCCGAGCGUUGUCCGGAUUUAUUGGGCGUAAAGCGAGCGCAGGCGGUUAGAUAAGUCUGAAGUUAAAGGCUGUGGCUUAACCAUAGUACGCUUUGGAAACUGUUUAACUUGAGUGCAAGAGGGGAGAGUGGAAUUCCAUGUGUAGCGGUGAAAUGCGUAGAUAUAUGGAGGAACACCGGUGGCGAAAGCGGCUCUCUGGCUUGUAACUGACGCUGAGGCUCGAAAGCGUGGGGAGCAAACAGGAUUAGAUACCCCCGUAGUCCCUGUCUCUUAUACC